Pan troglodytes (chimpanzee) is the source of this 644-nucleotide long non-coding RNA. RefSeq lists it as uncharacterized. The transcript has a single exon. NCBI's taxonomy places the organism in Eukaryota, Metazoa, Chordata, Mammalia, Primates, Hominidae. The record is from RefSeq and is a predicted model, not a curated record.
CACUUAGAAAACAGAUAACAGCCCCUCCAUGUGGGCUAUAUGAGGAGAGAGGAGCAGCAGGCAGGCAGCUCAGCCCAGCCUGGGCACAGCCAGUGCCCAUGGAUUCUGGCUGUAUCGGGAGCGCUGUCUUGCUCAUGGCUGCGUCCCACACCCUUGGCCCUGUGCCUGGCACACAGCAGGCACUUGACAGUAGGAAGCCAUCCCAUGCCCGGGGUGGCCCCAGGCUGUCAGGUUGGGAGUGGGCUGAGCCUUUGUCUGGGUCCUGGCUUCUGCUGCUCAGAACACCACUGGCUUUCUCUUCUCUCCCAAUUCUCUCACCCUCUCAGCCUGGCUUGAGGACACGCCUCUUCCCCCCCUUCAGGAUCACCUUGCCAGACACAAUAUAUGUGUUUAAGAAGCAGACACAUUUGUUGAAUAAAAGAAUGAAGCAAUGGAUGAGGCGUGGGGGCAACCAAGCUGGCUGGCACAGGCAUCAAUACAUGUGGUGGCUCCUGGAGGGAGGCAGGGCAAGGGCAGCUGCAGGGCACUCACCCGGGCCUUGUCCUCCAUCUUCCCAAGGGCUGUCAGUGCUCCUCCAGUGGGUGCCCAAGGGUCCCUCCUUACCCUGGGCCUCUGGUCACCUUGAUCCCCAGCCUACCUGCUGA